GGGCGGUUAGCUCAGUUGGUUAGAGCAUCACCUUGACAUGGUGGGGGUCACAAGUUCGAAUCUUGUAUCGCCCA
Molecule: transfer RNA, 74 nt
Filed under: Spirochaetia bacterium
Lineage: Bacteria; Pseudomonadati; Spirochaetota; Spirochaetia
Description: tRNA-Val
Rfam family: tRNA
About the family: Transfer RNA (tRNA) molecules are approximately 80 nucleotides in length. Their secondary structure includes four short double-helical elements and three loops (D, anti-codon, and T loops).
Source: RNAcentral